CCUACGGGUGGCAGCAGUCGAGAAUCAUUCACAAUGGGGGAAACCCUGAUGGUGCGACGCCGCGUGGGGGAAUGAAGGUCUUCGGAUUGUAAACCCCUGUCAUGUGGGAGCAAAUUAAAAAGAUAGUACCACAAGAGGAAGAGACGGGUAACUCUGUGCCAGCAGCCGCGGUAAUACAGAGGUCUCAAGCGUUAUUCGGAAUCACUGGGCGUAAAGGGUGCGUAGGCUGUUUCGUAAGUCGGGUGUGAAAGGCGCGGGCUCAACCCGCGGACGGCACAUGAUACUGCGAGACUAGAGUAAUGGAGGGGGAACCGGAAUUCUCGGUGUAGCAGUGAAAUGCGUAGAUAUCGAGAGGAACACUCGUGGCGAAGGCGGGUUCCUGGACAUUAACUGACGCUGAGGCACGAAGGCCAGGGGAGCGAAAGGGAUUAGAUACCCGAGUAGUC
RNAcentral lists this ribosomal RNA (446 nucleotides) under uncultured bacterium. RNAcentral's name for it is "partial 16S ribosomal RNA". It matches the Rfam family "Bacterial small subunit ribosomal RNA", at positions 338 to 795 of the family's 1533-position model. The record is from RNAcentral.